GGAGCGGACCAGAUGAUCGCUGGCCAUGAUCGAUGGGUGCCGAAAGGCAGCGCAGAGAUUUUGGCGGGAGGAAAGUCCGGGCUCCGUAGAACGCAAUGGUGGGUAACCCCCACCGGCCGCAAGGCUAGGGAAAGUGCCACAGAAAGCAAACCGCCAACAGGGUUUUCCCUGUUGGUAAGGGUGAAACGGUGAGGUAAGAGCUCACCAGCAGGCCGGGCGACCGGUCUGGCUCGGUAAACCCCAUUGGGAGCAAGGCCAAGCAGGAAGAAGUUUGCCCUUUCGGGGGCCGCGCGAAGCGGUUCGUUUCGCAUCCAACUUCCGGGUCGGCUGCUGGAGGCGUCGGGCAACCGGCGUCCUAGAGAAAUGGUCAUCGCCCAGCGGGCCCUUGGGACCACUGGGAGACAAAACCCGGCUUACCGGUUCGCUCCAGUC
Molecule: RNase P RNA, 432 nt
Filed under: Planctomycetota bacterium
Lineage: Bacteria; Pseudomonadati; Planctomycetota
Also listed under: 1 other name
Description: Planctomycetes bacterium RNase P RNA component class A
Rfam family: Bacterial RNase P class A
About the family: Ribonuclease P (RNase P) is a ubiquitous endoribonuclease, found in archaea, bacteria and eukarya as well as chloroplasts and mitochondria. Its best characterised activity is the generation of mature 5'-ends of tRNAs by cleaving the 5'-leader elements of precursor-tRNAs.
Source: RNAcentral